RNAcentral lists this ribosomal RNA (465 nucleotides) under Vreelandella stevensii. RNAcentral describes it as "partial 16S ribosomal RNA". It matches the Rfam family "Bacterial small subunit ribosomal RNA", at positions 338 to 795 of the family's 1533-position model. The record is from RNAcentral. Lineage: Bacteria; Pseudomonadati; Pseudomonadota; Gammaproteobacteria; Oceanospirillales; Halomonadaceae.
CCUACGGGGUGCAGCAGUGGGGAAUAUUGGACAAUGGGCGAAAGCCUGAUCCAGCCAUGCCGCGUGUGUGAAGAAGGCCUUCGGGUUGUAAAGCACUUUCAGUGGGGAAGAAAGCCUUGGGGCUAAUACCCUCGAGGAAGGACAUCACCCACAGAAGAAGCACCGGCUAACUCCGUGCCAGCAGCCGCGGUAAUACGGAGGGUGCGAGCGUUAAUCGGAAUUACUGGGCGUAAAGCGCGCGUAGGCGGUCUGAUAAGCCGGUUGUGAAAGCCCCGGGCUCAACCUGGGAACGGCAUCCGGAACUGGCAGGCUAGAGUGCAGGAGAGGAAGGUAGAAUUCCCGGUGUAGCGGUGAAAUGCGUAGAGAUCGGGAGGAAUACCAGUGGCGAAGGCGGCCUUCUGGACUGACACUGACGCUGAGGUGCGAAAGCGUGGGUAGCAAACAGGAUUAGAUACCCCUGUAGUC